RNAcentral lists this ribosomal RNA (227 nucleotides) under Escherichia coli. Its description in RNAcentral is "partial 16S ribosomal RNA". It matches the Rfam family "Bacterial small subunit ribosomal RNA", at positions 1 to 224 of the family's 1533-position model. Lineage: Bacteria; Pseudomonadati; Pseudomonadota; Gammaproteobacteria; Enterobacterales; Enterobacteriaceae. The record is from RNAcentral.
AAAUUGAAGAGUUUGAUCAUGGCUCAGAUUGAACGCUGGCGGCAGGCCUAACACAUGCAAGUCGAACGGUAACAGGAAACAGCUUGCUGUUUCGCUGACGAGUGGCGGACGGGUGAGUAAUGUCUGGGAAACUGCCUGAUGGAGGGGGAUAACUACUGGAAACGGUAGCUAAUACCGCAUAACGUCGCAAGACCAAAGAGGGGGACCCUCGGGCCUCUUGCCAUCGG